GGGGAAUAUUGCGCAAUGGGGGAAACCCUGACGCAGCGACGCCGCGUGAGCGAAGAAGGCCUUAGGGUUGUAAAGCUCUGUUUUAGGGGACGAAUGUCGUGGGGAGUAAUAUGACCUACGAAUGACGGUACCCUAAGAGGAAGCCCCGGCUAACUACGUGCCAGCAGCCGCGGUAAGACGUAGGGGGCGAGCGUUGUCCGGAAUUACUGGGCGUAAAGAGCACGUAGGCGGGAACCUAAGUCAGGUGUGAAAGACCGUGGCUCAACCACGGGGUGGCAUUUGAAACUGGGUUUCUUGAGGGCAGGAGAGGAAAGCAGAAUUCCUGGUGUAGCGGUGAAAUGCGUAGAAAUCAGGAGGAAUACCAGUGGCGAAGGCGGCUUUCUGGACUGACCCUGACGCUGAGGUGCGAAAGCGUGGGUAGCAAAC
Molecule: ribosomal RNA, 426 nt
Filed under: uncultured bacterium
Lineage: Bacteria
Description: bacterial SSU rRNA
Rfam family: Bacterial small subunit ribosomal RNA
Source: RNAcentral